GUGGAGUAGGCAAUGGCGGUGGUGGUGGAGUAGGCAAUGGCGGUGGUGGUGGAGUAGGCAAUGGCGGUGGUGUAGGAAAUGGAAGCGGUGGUGUAGGAAAUGGAAGCGGUGGUGGGAUAGGCAAAGGCGGAUAUGGAAGAGACAUGGUGGAUAAUUUACGGAUGAACACUGUGUCUUGAAAACUUCAGUAUUUUGUUAGUUAGUAAAGGUGUUCUUAUUUGGAGUGAAAAUAUUUUAUUAAUAAUAGAAUAAUACAACUUCAUAUUUCAUAAUUGUUAGGAUUGACUUUGCUAUAUAGUUUCGUGCAUUGAAAACUAUAAUUUUUCUUUUGAG
This 333-nucleotide small RNA is filed under the name Vigna angularis var. angularis. Its description in RNAcentral is "Non-protein coding transcript". Lineage: Eukaryota; Viridiplantae; Streptophyta; Magnoliopsida; Fabales; Fabaceae. The record is from RNAcentral.